UACUGGUUAUUAAAAAUCUUUGGAGAACUCACAGUCAGAUUUCAGCUCUGCUGAAGUUAUGCAUACUUAAAAAUCAAGCACAGACUUAUUAAAAUCUAGAGGCGCCAUAAUAUAAUACUGUUUACAUCUGGAAACAACUCGUCCGUUCUAUUAGUUUUAACGCUAUGGUUUUGUUAGGUAGAAUAGGUAGGUUGUAAGAUGUACAUAUUCCUGCAUGGAUGAAACACAAAAAGGACGGUUAAAGUAGAUAAAAAUAGAAACAAUAACUAUCGAAAAUCAAAAUCAAAACUAGGUUAUAACUAGGUAAGUCUAGAAUAUAAAUAGGUAAGCCUAGAAUAUAACUAGGUAAGGUCUAGAAUGUAAGUUAGGUUAGAAACAAAGCAUCUUUGUGCGAAUGUGGUUUUAAAAAGAAAUAGAAGUGAAGUAGAAGAGGUUUAACUUGGAACAGGCCAAAGGAGGUUUUAUUCAAACAUUU
Long non-coding RNA from Helicoverpa armigera (cotton bollworm), 475 nucleotides. RefSeq lists it as uncharacterized. NCBI's taxonomy places the organism in Eukaryota, Metazoa, Arthropoda, Insecta, Lepidoptera, Noctuidae. The record is from RefSeq and is a predicted model, not a curated record. The transcript is spliced from 2 exons.